GCUACACAUGCAGUCGAACGGUAACAGGAAGCAGCUUGCUGCUUCGCUGACGAGUGGCGGACGGGUGAGUAAUGUCUGGGAAACUGCCUGAUGGAGGGGGAUAACUACUGGAAACGGUAGCUAAUACCGCAUAACGUCGCAAGACCAAAGAGGGGGACCUUCGGGCCUCUUGCCAUCGGAUGUGCCCAGAUGGGAUUAGCUAGUAGGUGGGGUAACGGCUCACCUAGGCGACGAUCCCUAGCUGGUCUGAGAGGAUGACCAGCCACACUGGAACUGAGACACGGUCCAGACUCCUACCGGAGGCAGCAGUGGGGAAUAUUGCACAAUGGGCGCAAGCCUGAUGCAGCCAUGCCGCGUGUAUGAAGAAGGSCUUCGGGUUGUAAAGUACUUUCAKCGGGGAGGAAGGCGAUAAGGUUAAUAACCUUGUCGAUUGACGUUACCCGCAGAAGAA
This 451-nucleotide ribosomal RNA is filed under the name uncultured bacterium. RNAcentral's name for it is "bacterial SSU rRNA". It matches the Rfam family "Bacterial small subunit ribosomal RNA", at positions 48 to 489 of the family's 1533-position model. The record is from RNAcentral.